Molecule: ribosomal RNA, 778 nt
Filed under: uncultured prokaryote
Description: bacterial SSU rRNA
Rfam family: Bacterial small subunit ribosomal RNA
Source: RNAcentral
UUAGAUAUCACGAAGNACUCCGAUUGCGAAGGCAGCUUGCUGGACUGUAACUGACGCUGAGGCACGAAAGCGUGGGGAUCAAACAGGAUUAGAUACCCUGGUAGUCCACGCCGUAAACGAUGAAUGCUAGCUGUUAGCGAUAUACUGUUAGCGGCACAGAGAAAUCGUUAAGCAUUCCACCUGGGGAGUACGCCGGCAACGGUGAAACUCAAAGGAAUUGACGGGGGCCCGCACAAGCGGAGGAACAUGUGGUUUAAUUCGAUGAUACGCGAGGAACCUUACCUGGGCUUAAAUUGCAGUGGAAUAACGUGGAAACAUGUUAGCCUUCGGGCCGCUGUGAAGGUGCUGCAUGGUUGUCGUCAGCUCGUGCCGUGAGGUGUCGGCUUAAGUGCCAUAACGAGCGCAACCCUCAUCGAUAGUUACUAACAGGUUAAGCUGAGGACUCUAUCGAGACUGCCGACGUAAGUCGUGAGGAAGGUGGGGAUGACGUCAAAUCAGCACGGCCCUUACGUCCAGGGCUACACACGUGUUACAAUGGGGGGUACAAAGGGCAGCUACCUGGCGACAGGAUGCUAAUCUCAAAAACCUCUCUCAGUUCGGAUUGGAGUCUGCAACCCGACUCCAUGAAGCUGGAUUCGCUAGUAAUCGCGCAUCAGCCACGGCGCGGUGAAUACGUUCCCGGGCCUUGUACACACCGCCCGUCAAGCCAUGGGAGCCGGGGGGACCUGAAGUAUGCAACCGUAAGGAGCGUCCUAGGGUAAAACUGGUGACUGGGGCU